UACGAAGGGGGCUAGCGUUGUUCGGAAUUACUGGGCGUAAAGCGAGUGUAGGUGGUUUUCCAAGUUGGAUGUGAAAGCCUUGAGCUCAACUCAAGAAAUGCAUUCAGGACUGGAAGACUAGAGGACCGGAGAGGAUAGUGGAAUUCCCAGUGUAGUGGUGAAAUACGUAGAGAUUGGGAAGAACACCAGUGGCGAAGGCGGCUAUCUGGACGGUUUCUGACACUAAGACUCGAAAGCGUGGGGAGCAAACAGG
RNAcentral lists this ribosomal RNA (253 nucleotides) under uncultured bacterium. Its description in RNAcentral is "partial 16S ribosomal RNA". It matches the Rfam family "Bacterial small subunit ribosomal RNA", at positions 524 to 776 of the family's 1533-position model. The record is from RNAcentral.